AGCAGUCGCCGCGGGAAUACGAAGGGUGCAAGCGUUAAUCGGAAUUACUGGGCGUAAAGCGUGCGUAGGCGGUUUGUUAAGUCUGCUGUGAAAUCCCCGGGCUCAACCUGGGAAUGGCAGUGGAUACUGGCAAGCUAGAGUGUGUCAGAGGAUGGUGGAAUUCCCGGUGUAGCGGUGAAAUGCGUAGAGAUCGGGAGGAACAUCAGUGGCGAAGGCGGCCAUCUGGGACAACACUGACGCUGAGGCACGAAAGCGUGGGGAGCAAACAGGAUUAGAUACCCCUGUAGUCCCUGUCUCUUAUAC
This 303-nucleotide ribosomal RNA is filed under the name uncultured bacterium. Its description in RNAcentral is "partial 16S ribosomal RNA". It matches the Rfam family "Bacterial small subunit ribosomal RNA", at positions 507 to 807 of the family's 1533-position model. The record is from RNAcentral.